This 289-nucleotide long non-coding RNA is filed under the name Actinidia chinensis (golden kiwifruit). Its description in RNAcentral is "long non-coding RNA (ACHI_LNC008210)". Lineage: Eukaryota; Viridiplantae; Streptophyta; Magnoliopsida; Ericales; Actinidiaceae. The record is from RNAcentral.
UGAAGUGGCUUAUCUGGUUUCUGAGUUGUGUUCAUCUCUGUACACUAUGAUUGGUGUUGAUGCAUUCUAGUUGCCCAUCAUAUGGCAUAGUUAAUAGUUGACCUCUUUCGAGUAAAUUGAUGUCUCCAUUAUAUGACAUGUUGAUGCAUUUUAAAGCUUUGUUGGUUGAAAGCUGUCUGCUGUGGCCUUGUGGCCAUGUAGUUCGGUGGAUGCAAAGUUAAAUUAAACUGGGCAUUCCUCAUCUUCGAUAUUUCUAAUCAUAGCAGGAAAAGAUCUUGCAAAAUGUGCC